RNAcentral lists this ribosomal RNA (508 nucleotides) under uncultured bacterium. Its description in RNAcentral is "partial 16S ribosomal RNA". It matches the Rfam family "Bacterial small subunit ribosomal RNA", at positions 30 to 523 of the family's 1533-position model. The record is from RNAcentral.
AUUGAACGCUGGCGGCAGGCCUAACACAUGCAAGUCGAGCGGCAGCGGGAAAGUAGCUCGCUACUUUUGCCGGCGAGCGGCGGACGGGUGAGUAAUGACUGGGAAAUUGCCCAGUCGAGGGGGAUAACAGUUGGAAACGACUGCUAAUACCGCAUACGCCCUACGGGGGAAAGCAGGGGACCUUCGGGCCUUGCGCGAUUGGAUAUGCCCAGGUGGGAUUAGCUAGUUGGUGAGGUAAUGGCUCACCAAGGCGACGAUCCCUAGCUGGUCUGAGAGGAUGAUCAGCCACACUGGAACUGAGACACGGUCCAGACUCCUACGGGAGGCAGCAGUGGGGAAUAUUGCACAAUGGGGGAAACCCUGAUGCAGCCAUGCCGCGUGUGUGAAGAAGGCCUUCGGGUUGUAAAGCACUUUCAGCGAGGAGGAAAGGUUGAUGCCUAAUACGUAUCAACUGUGACGUUACUCGCAGAAGAAGCACCGGCUAACUCCGUGCCAGCCGCCGCGGUAA